This 620-nucleotide ribosomal RNA is filed under the name uncultured bacterium. Its description in RNAcentral is "bacterial SSU rRNA". It matches the Rfam family "Bacterial small subunit ribosomal RNA", at positions 338 to 1254 of the family's 1533-position model. The record is from RNAcentral.
CCUACGGGAGGCAGCAGUAAGGAAUAUUGGUCAAUGGAGGCAACUCUGAACCAGCCAUGCCGCGUGCAGGAAGACAGCCCUCUGGGUCGUAAACUGCUUUUAUUCGGGAAUAAACCUCAUUAUGUAUAGUGAGCUGAAUGUACCGAAGGAAUAAGGAUCGGCUAACUCCGUGCCAGCAGCCGCGGUAAUACGGAGGAUCCAAGCGUUAUCCGGAUUUAUUGGGUUUAAAGGGUGCGUAGGCGGCUUUUUAAGUCAGGGGUGAAAGACGGUAGCUCAACUAUCGCAGUGCCCUUGAUACUGAAGAGCUUGAAUGGACUAGAGGUAGGCGGAAUGUGACAAGUAGCGGUGAAAUGCAUAGAUAUGUCACAGAACACCGAUUGCGAAGGCAGCUUACUAUGGUUUUAUUGACGCUGAGGCACGAAAGCGUGGGGAUCAAACAGGAUUAGAUACCCUGGUAGUCCACGCCCUAAACGAUGAAUACUCGCUGUUAGCGAUACACAGUUAGCGGCUAAGCGAAAGCGUUAAGUAUUCCACCUGGGGAGUACGGUCGCAAGAUUGAAACUCAGAUGAAUUGACGGGCUUGGAGACGUUGCCGACGGACGACGACGAGGGGAGGUAGG